Long non-coding RNA from Anas platyrhynchos (mallard), 1097 nucleotides. RefSeq lists it as uncharacterized. The record is from RefSeq and is a predicted model, not a curated record. Lineage: Eukaryota; Metazoa; Chordata; Aves; Anseriformes; Anatidae.
CUCUCCAAUUCUCGUUAGGCCAAAUCAUUAGGCCAAAAGCCACCUCCUUCUUCUCUGGCCCUCCAAGAAAUUGAGAUGCCCGAGGGAGAGGGGCAAAUGAGAGGUAUAAAGGUUCUUCUCUUUCUACUGAUAUUUAUAUUAAUAUCAGAACUUUAAUUGCUUAAUUUCCCAAAUAUGCUAUCCCUAUAUAGAGUAAAAAUAGAGUAAAAACAAAGGAUGCUUCACAUCUUUUUGUAAUUAUUUUUUUCUUUCAACAUCAGAGAGUAGCUCCCACUACAGUCCCACUAUAGUCUCCAAAAUUAGAGUCAUGAUAUGAAACAGCUGAUAAAAGCACCAAGACAACUUAAACUAAUUACAAUUUGCAGGUAGAGUGGUAAUUGCACUUCUGACUGCCUAAAUUGGGCAUACAAAUGCAUGGUUGCAUUUGUAUAGAGACUCUCAUAGAAUAGUCUGUGCCAGCUGAAAAUUCAGCCCUAAAUAGUGCUUUCGUAUACUGAUGGGAGAGAGCAGGUUUCUGGCUCGGCGCUUCAAAACCAGUCCCAAGGCAAAGAACAUGGCAUCAGUUUGCCACCACCCUUCCAAUGUCAGCUGCACGGAGCAUUCAGCCAACAUUUUAAGCUCUCAACAGCUUUUGUGUUUUUAAAGUACGUUCUAGCUAGCCCCUGUUUUGUCUCUGAUGGCUGGCUUUCAGAGGUUGUAAACAUCCAUCUCACAGUGGAGUUUUCAGUUCCUAUUUUUGAAGCAGCAACUAUUUUUCUGCAAAAUACAGGUCAAGCCAUCCCGUUGAAUCUACAACACAUUCACAAACAGGUGCUCUCAAGCAGCUGUAAUUUCUCUACCUUUUCUCUUUGAACAAAAACCUGUAAAAGAUUAAUUAUCUUAGUCCAUAAAUGCUUUAAUAGCUUCCAGUGAUUUUAUAAAUUAUAGGUAUAGAUUUGUGAAAGGCUGGAUUUGCACAAGCCCAGGCUAAGCUAAGAAGUCCCCAUGAUUCAGAUAUCAACAGAAGAGUUUGGUUUCAGCCAGUGUUCCAGGCUUCCUGCAGGCUCAUGGCCAAUUGCUGCCUUCUUAGCAUCCCAGUGGUUUCUUUUUGUUUCAUU